GACGUAGGGCGCGAGCGUUGUCCGGAUUUAUUGGGCGUAAAGAGCUCGUAGGCGGCUUGUCGCGUCGUCCGUGAAAACCUGUGGCUCAACUGCAGGCUUGCGGUCGAUACGGGCAGGCUGGAGUUCGGUAGGGGAGACUGGAAUUCUUGGUGUAGCGGUGAAAUGCGCAGAUAUCAGGAGGAACACCGGUGGCGAAGGCGGGUCUCUGGGCCGAUACUGACGCUGAGGAGCGAAAGCGUGGGGAGCGAACAGG
RNAcentral lists this ribosomal RNA (253 nucleotides) under uncultured bacterium. RNAcentral's name for it is "partial 16S ribosomal RNA". It matches the Rfam family "Bacterial small subunit ribosomal RNA", at positions 524 to 776 of the family's 1533-position model. The record is from RNAcentral.